GUUAUACAAGUUUGUUUCUUUGAUACCCAAAAAAUAGCACAUCCACCCAAGGUGAACACCCAACCGAAGGUUGACUUAUUAUCCUUAACACUAGUUAUCCAACUAGAAUAUGUACAACCCUAGGAUCUCCAUCAUAUUUAUUUCAUUAGUUUGUUAUGUAAUCAUAUAUUUAUAACAUGAAGUAUAAAGAUAAUUCAUAGUCUAGAUGUGUACCUUAUUUGGAAAAACAAAUUGCUCCACAAGUAGUUUAAAAUAAGAGCCUCCAAAGGUUAAGAACUAGGACAAACUUGCACACACAAAUGCACACUUAUUUGUCCUUUUACCACUCCUUACAAAUGACGUGUAAGGCUCUAAUAUUUACUACUCAAAGUGCACCAACCUUUUGUCCAACAAAUUCAUCUCUUCAUGCUUGUAACUAUUAAGAAGAAUUACUUAUCUUCAUUCAGUUAAAUCUUUUGGCCAAUGGGCAUAACUCUUUCUAUGGAUACAACUCUUUAUGUGGUUUUAGCACAAUUGGAAAUUUGUCAUGGAACAAUCUAUAGUUUAUAGUUCUUUUUAAAUAUCCAAAAA
This 570-nucleotide unclassified non-coding RNA is filed under the name Hevea brasiliensis (rubber tree). The record is from RNAcentral. Lineage: Eukaryota; Viridiplantae; Streptophyta; Magnoliopsida; Malpighiales; Euphorbiaceae.